Molecule: transfer RNA, 70 nt
Filed under: Loxodonta africana (African savanna elephant)
Lineage: Eukaryota; Metazoa; Chordata; Mammalia; Proboscidea; Elephantidae
Rfam family: tRNA
About the family: Transfer RNA (tRNA) molecules are approximately 80 nucleotides in length. Their secondary structure includes four short double-helical elements and three loops (D, anti-codon, and T loops). Further hydrogen bonds mediate the characteristic L-shaped molecular structure. tRNAs have two regions of fundamental functional importance: the anti-codon, which is responsible for specific mRNA codon recognition, and the 3' end, to which the tRNAs corresponding amino acid is attached (by aminoacyl-tRNA synthetases). tRNAs cope with the degeneracy of the genetic code in two manners: having more than one tRNA (with a specific anti-codon) for a particular amino acid; and 'wobble' base-pairing, i.e. permitting non-standard base-pairing at the 3rd anti-codon position.
Source: Rfam by way of RNAcentral
ACUAGUUGUGCAAUGAUUAAAAUUUUGGCUGUUAACCAAAAGGUUGGUGGUUCGAAUCCACCCACUGGUU